RNAcentral lists this transfer RNA (71 nucleotides) under Patescibacteria group bacterium. RNAcentral describes it as "tRNA-Lys". It matches the Rfam family "tRNA". From Rfam's summary of the family: Transfer RNA (tRNA) molecules are approximately 80 nucleotides in length. Their secondary structure includes four short double-helical elements and three loops (D, anti-codon, and T loops). Further hydrogen bonds mediate the characteristic L-shaped molecular structure. tRNAs have two regions of fundamental functional importance: the anti-codon, which is responsible for specific mRNA codon recognition, and the 3' end, to which the tRNAs corresponding amino acid is attached (by aminoacyl-tRNA synthetases). tRNAs cope with the degeneracy of the genetic code in two manners: having more than one tRNA (with a specific anti-codon) for a particular amino acid; and 'wobble' base-pairing, i.e. permitting non-standard base-pairing at the 3rd anti-codon position. The record is from RNAcentral.
GCCCUGUUAGCUCAGUGGUAGAGCAGCUGGCUUUUAACCAGUUGAUGAGGGUUCGAUUCCCCCACGGGGCA